AGGGGGAGUGCCGGAUCUUGGGCUGUGUCCCCUGGCGCCCUUGCCUCCAGGGCCUGCGCCACUGGGACUGCGUUCCCAGGACUGCGCAGCCCCCU
This 95-nucleotide microRNA precursor is filed under the name Canis lupus familiaris (dog). Its description in RNAcentral is "mir-8799 microRNA precursor family". It matches the Rfam family "mir-8799 microRNA precursor family". Lineage: Eukaryota; Metazoa; Chordata; Mammalia; Carnivora; Canidae. The record is from Rfam by way of RNAcentral. RNAcentral also lists the same sequence under 1 other name.